This 674-nucleotide long non-coding RNA is filed under the name Brassica napus (rape). RNAcentral's name for it is "long non-coding RNA (BNAP_LNC016976)". The record is from RNAcentral. Lineage: Eukaryota; Viridiplantae; Streptophyta; Magnoliopsida; Brassicales; Brassicaceae.
UCUGUUAUGUCUUUGAUUCAUUGUCUCUUUGCUUUCAGGUAACAACAGUGUAGAUCGACGAUGCAUAUAGUCCGAGGUAACGAUCUCUUUGCUUUCGAUUACAAUUUCAGCUCACGACACAGGCGACUCUACUAACUUAGCUGAUGUUUACUUGUUUAGGAAAAUAACAAACAGAACAAAGCUUAAACCAAAGUAAGUUGUUAAUACUCCUAUCAUGUGCACUUUAUCUUGUUGUUUAUUGGUAACAAAGUAUGGUGUUUUGUCUCUGAUAUGCUUGUGGUGUUCUGUCUCGAGGUGAUGGAGUGAUGGUGAACAAGGAGGCGAGUGGCUCAUCUUCUUCUCCUCUUCACUGCUAAAGCGUCAUGAAUCAUGUUUUAAAGCGUCAUGAAACUAUAUGUCCGUUUGUAAUUCUAUGUCCCGCGGACCAACCCGCAAAGGUACAUAUUUUGCAGUAUGGGUUUGGUCAGCCAUUUUGAAGAACGCAGUCUGCGCGGACCUGACCUGCCAUGACUCGCUCGAAGACGAAUCCGCUGCGGUACAGAACGGGACAUGACAGAUUAACUUGUUUGACAUUCCUAUACUUAAGUAUCAGUUAUUUAGAUGUUUAACCAGUUCUUGAUAACGAUGUACUAGUCUAUUCUAACAUGUAAGUUUAUUGAUGUAUAGUUUUACUG